CAGGAGGCUGAAGCACGAGAAUCGCUUGAACCCAGGAGGCAGAGGUUGCAGUAAGCCAAGACUGCACCACUGCUCUCCAGCCUGGGUGACAGAGUGAGACUCCGUCUCAAAAAAAGAAAAAAAAAAUUUUUUUUUUUGAAUAGGGAAUACUUUCGUGUGUUUCAGACUAAAAAAUUGAUUUUAUAUGUAUUUAUAAUUACACACAUAUACGUAUGCAGUAAAGUUUCAUUUUUACUUGUCCUUCAGCCACCAUUUCCUUUCCUCUUACACACUAAUAUUUUCAGUUUCUUAUUUAUCCUUCCAGUUAUUUUAUGGACAUACCAGUAAAUACACACAUAUAUUAAUAUAUCCAGUAUUUUCCCCAUCUCUUUUUUGCACAACCCCUUAAAUAUACUUAAAAUAAAACAGAACAACAAAUUUUUCGUAAACAAAAUUUAAUACAACCAUAUAGUCAAGUAAUAAUGGUUAAAAGACAUUUUAUUAGAUACAACUUUUAAAAAAUUAAACUAUGCAAGAAGUAUAUUUAAACAAAACAUGUAAGUAAGUAUUCACGUGCUACAACUUAACUAAGAACAAUUAAAUACAAAGCAUUCUUUCCACUAUGAAGACUCUGGAGCCUCUAAUUGAAAGCAAAUGACCUUAGGUCUAUACUAGUUGUAAAGCAGAUUAUACUUUUGUUCAACUCUAAAUUUGUAUUGUCUUAGAGCUCCAACAACUCUCAAUAAAAAUUUAAAUAAAGAAACCUUGGGGGAGGGGUGAUAGGGAAGGGGAGAUUUAUUUACUCUAUAGGAAACAAAUAUGAACCUUAUCUAAGGUAAGCUUCAUUUAGAUUGAAAAAAAAGUUGAAAUAGCACUAGAGAACUUAAGGCACAUAAACAAAUUCAGGUGCAGUUAUUUUGAAACCAUUAAAACAAAUUCUUUUCUUUGGAACAAUAUAUAAAAUAAGUUAUGAAUGUUGCUGUUUUUAUCAGCACUAGGAAAAUUUAAUAUCUAAGGCAAUCACACAAAUGUAAAAUGUUCAUAUAAAACAUUAAAAAAUGUCUAAAGUGUCUCUGGAAUUAUUCAUUCACACUCCUGGCUCAAAUGGUUUCUGGUGCCUAGCAUUAGAUGUGACAAUAAUGAUAGCUAGCUAGUCAAACCUACUGCCUUAAAGAUCAACCAAUUUGCUCCAUUCUGGUUACUUGGCAUGGUAAAUUUAUUUAACUAAAAAGAAUAAUGGGGUGAGGUGAUGUAAACCUGGCUUUCAAUAAGAUGCACAACAAAUUCUAAUAAGGCCAAAACUCUGUUGAGGUUAACUGGUGUCUUGAGUUUACUAAAAUAAAGGCAGUCCAUAGGAAGCCUCAAAGAGACAUUAUCUUACCACUUGGCACCACAAAAACACCAAGCUCUCCUCUCUGAAAAUACAGGCCGGGGGUGGUGGCUCACGCCUGUAAUCCCAGCACUUUGGGAGGCCGAGGUGGGCGGAUCACGUGGUCAGGAGUGAUCCGUCUCUACUAAACCCCGUCUCUACUAAAAAUACAAAAAAAUUAGCCGGGUGUGGUGGCACGCACCUGUGGUCUCAGCUACUCGGGAGGCUGAGGCAGAAUCCCUUGAACCCGGGAGGUGGAGGUUGCAGUCAGCUGAGAUCGCGCCACUGCACUCCAGCCUGGGCGACAGAGCAAGACCCCGUUCUCCCCCCUUCCCCAAAAAAAAAAAAAAACGAAAAAAAUACAGUUUGAAGUAGAUGUCGUCUUUUCCACAUAUAAAUCUCAAGACAUAAAAGGCACACACAAUUCAACUCCUCUCUUUUCAUAUAUGGGUUCUCACAGCAAUUUAAAAAAUCUAUUGCCAUAUCCAGACAACAGGAGAAAAAAAAAAUACCUGGUUUGCUUAUUGACAAAAGUGGUGUAAUUGAACCUUUGUCUUUCCUGAGUUUCAAAAAGGCUAUUUGACAGUAGAGAUACAUAAACAAUUCAUAUUCAGUAAGAUAAAAUGUAUCAGUCCACAAAACAUUUUCAUCUUUUUAAGUAUAAAAGAAUCAAUGUUCAACCACCACCAUGUGUGAAGCCCCUUUUUCCAAAUUAAACUUACUCUAGAAUCAUGAAUUGAAGAUUAUUCAGUCAUGGCACUUUACACCCCAAACGAGCAAAAGUAACAAGUUAAUACCCUCCCUGAGUAUUUACAUCAUCUUAUCACCUGGUUUAAAUGGAGUAAAUACCUAUAUUUCAAUCAUCUAGGAAAUAAAAAGGUUACUGAAGAUCCAAUACACUAGUAUUUCAUACCUGUGCAGUAAAGUCAGUGGGAAGAUUACAGUAGAAAAGGAGGAAGUUCUACUGUUGUAAAAAUUAGACCACUUUUGUAGCUGACUCACAUAGAGGAAAAACAGAAAAUGAUUAAAGUUCAUGAAAAAAAAACUAUACUUUUCUGUUCUACAAAGCAUACCUUUGAAUUCCCUUUCCAACUGAGGUAUCACAGCUGGGUUUAGCAAACUCAUCUCUUCUGACCUUGUAAAACUAAAUUGUCAUAAAGAUUCUGAUUAUACAUAAGUCAUCGUUACUAAUACUCAUCAUGUACUUUCAAAUGUAAAAAGUUCUAGAAAUGCCCAAAUAAAAAAAAAUUCCAGAAUUGAAUUUAGCAUGGUCAACUAAUUUUUACUUUAUGUGCUUUUUUGCUGAUCAUCACAGACUGCUAAAAUUCAUGGUGUUUGGUAUAUAUGUGUGUAUACAACCAUACUAUCUACAUACAUACACAUGUACAUAUAUAGAUUCUAAACCAAAGGUUCAUAUGAGCAUCACCUAUCAAAAGAAAAAUCUUUAUGUGAUGAGAGAAUGAAUACAAUCUGACACCAAUUUGGUUGAUAUACCCCUUUUGAUAUAUUAAUUCUACUCUAAAAUUCUUUUUUAUUUUAUCAAGUCUAAUGCUAUUAUUUAUCAAGAAUUAGUAAAGGAAGAUAAAUAUUAAAAAAUUAAAAUAUUAAGUUGGGUAACUUUAAAAAUAGUUAUUUAAAUUUUCUAAGAUUCAACCUAAGUUCUUGGUGGCCUUCAAUAUAAAUUUUAAGUACUUAAUUUAUGUAGUUUUAAAUUAUGUAGAGAAAAAAUUAAUAUUGGUGUGAGGUCUGUGUUUAAAAAAAUUCUGUUUUUCAGGAUUUCAUUUCAAAUUUACUAUAAUAAACACAUGGAUAUUAAAAUAAAUGUAUAACAAAAUAAAAGUAAAUAGUUAAUACUUUUUACAACAGAAAAAUACUAGAAUAUAAAGUUGUCUUGAGAAAGUCUUUUUUUAUGUGAAGUCCUAUAUUCAUGAAAUGGACAUGAUCUUACAAAUACACAUGAAAAUAACAACUAUCAUUUGUAGAAUCCUCAGCAUUUACAAAAUACUUUUUCACACAUUAUCUCAUUUACUGUAAAGAAUUUCUUAACUAAAUAAUUCUAUUAUCUAUAAGAGUAUAAUGCAGAUGUUUACUCUAAAAUUAAAGUACAAGUAUCCAAACUGUACCUACAUUCUUUCAACUAAGAGGAUAGAAAAUUGUUUUCUGAAUUGUUGUUAUCACAAAAUGGUAUCUAUCAUUUUAAAAUUAUGAUUUGAAAAAUAAAAAUUCCCUAAAAAUUUUUAAGUUUUUUAGAGUUUUCCUCAGAAUGUAGAUUCUAGCUAAGCAUUAAAGUUUAAAAAAUGUCUAUCUGAAAUCUCUGAAUCAUUCUAAAAUGAGAAAACAAUGUAGCUUACCAAUGUUAGGCUUUUUAUUUCAACCUUGGUUUUAACAGAAAUCUGGUGACACUUUAAUUACAUAU
RNAcentral lists this long non-coding RNA (3764 nucleotides) under Homo sapiens (human). Its description in RNAcentral is "HSALNT0065429". The record is from RNAcentral. Lineage: Eukaryota; Metazoa; Chordata; Mammalia; Primates; Hominidae.